AGCUCCAAAAGUGUAUGCUAAAGUUGUUGCGGUUGAAAAGCUCGUAGUUGGAUAUUGGGCGAGCGCGGUCGGUCCGUCGCAGGGCGUGUACUGGUCGCGUUCGUCUCGAGCUUCGGUUCUCCGUCGGUGCUCUUGACUGAGUGUCGGCGGUGGCCGAGAAGUUUACUUUGAAAAAAUUAGAGUGUUCAAAGCAGGCUGGUCGCCUGAAUAGUGUUGCAUGGAAUAAUGGAAUAGGACCUCGGUUCUAUUUUGUUGGUUUUCGGAACGGAGGUAAUGAUUAAGAGGGACAGACGGGGGUGUCCGUACUCUGCCGUUAGAGGUGAAAUUCUUGGAUCGGCGGAAGACGAACUACUGCGAAAGCAUUCACCAAGAAUGUUUUCU
RNAcentral lists this ribosomal RNA (381 nucleotides) under marine Metazoa environmental sample. RNAcentral describes it as "SSU rRNA". It matches the Rfam family "Eukaryotic small subunit ribosomal RNA", at positions 587 to 972 of the family's 1831-position model. Lineage: Eukaryota; Metazoa. The record is from RNAcentral.